CAGUAGCCGCGGGAAUACGGAGGGCGCGAGCGUUACCCGGAUUUACUGGGCGUAAAGGGCGUGUAGGCGGCCUGGGGCGUCCCAUGUGAAAGGCCACGGCUCAACCGUGGAGGAGCGUGGGAUACGCUCAGGCUAGAGGGUGGGAGAGGGUGGUGGAAUUCCCGGAGUAGCGGUGAAAUGCGCAGAUACCGGGAGGAACGCCGAUGGCGAAGGCAGCCACCUGGUCCACUUCUGACGCUGAGGCGCGAAAGCGUGAGGAGCAAACCGGAUUAGAUACCCCAGUAGUCCCUGUCUCUUAUAC
RNAcentral lists this ribosomal RNA (301 nucleotides) under uncultured bacterium. Its description in RNAcentral is "partial 16S ribosomal RNA". It matches the Rfam family "Bacterial small subunit ribosomal RNA", at positions 509 to 807 of the family's 1533-position model. The record is from RNAcentral.